Neogale vison (American mink) is the source of this 1036-nucleotide long non-coding RNA. RefSeq lists it as uncharacterized. NCBI's taxonomy places the organism in Eukaryota, Metazoa, Chordata, Mammalia, Carnivora, Mustelidae. The transcript has 4 exons. The record is from RefSeq and is a predicted model, not a curated record.
GGAAAAUCCGACAUCACACACAGGAGCGUCCCUAGGAUGUGGCAGAGAAACACUAGGAUGAGGGCCCCUCGAUGGCCUCUAACACACCAGGGCAGUCCCCCAGUCCUGAGGAUUAAGGGGGUUUGAUGCCAGAACCCAAUAGGGGUUGCCACACAGCGGAGUCCGAAUAUUGUUCUCAUUAAUACAGCCACACCAGCCUGUAACAUGGGAUGCUCCAGGAGGUGACUUGGUCCUUGGAGAAAGGAUCUGACAAGAGGCUACGAGGCUUAUCACUCAGCAUACAAAGAACCCAACGAGAGCUGGACUAAUCCAUGAGAUGAGUCAGAUGUUGGCCCGUUGGACAAGCCUGAGCUCACCGGCCUUCUAAUGCAUGCCAAGCAGGUAUCCAAGCCUGAUGAGUCCCUGUUAACAAACUGCUGCUUCCUGCAGAGACCUAUGAGACUUCCCUGGGCCUUAAUUUCCCCACAUCUGUCCAGUUUCCCCAGGUUCUGAGUUCACAAAGCCCACGAGGAGAGAGGAAUCUGCCAUAAGGAGAGCCCAGAACCGCUGGGCCAAGGAGGAGCAGUUCACCUCAGAUGUAUUGCUGCAUCUGCAGAAAGAUCUGUGUCACCCUCCAAAUUUAUGCUGAGACCCUAAUCCCCAGUGGGACUAUAUUUGGAGAUGGGGCCUUUCGGGAGGGGAUUAAGGUCAUAAGGGUAGGGCCCUAAUCUGAUAGGACUGGUAUCCUCACAAGAAGAAGAAGAGGCACCAGAGAGAGUUCUCUCUCUGUCUCUGUCUCACUAUCUUUCUGUUUGUGUGUACAGAGGAAAGGCCAUUGCAGGACACAGGGAGGCAGUAGUUCUCUGCAAGUCUGGAAGAGAGGCCUCCUCAGUAACCAACCCCAAAGGCACCUUGAUCUUGGACUUCUAGCCUCCAAAACUGAGAAAAAAUAAAUGUCUACGUUUGAAGCUACACAGUCUGUAGUAUUUUAUUAUGGGAGUCUGAGCAGACUAACGUACACUCCAAUGAGUUCUGUUUUCUUUCGCAUCACUGGACC